This 217-nucleotide unclassified non-coding RNA is filed under the name soil metagenome. RNAcentral describes it as "partial contains 5.8S ribosomal RNA, internal transcribed spacer 2, and large subunit ribosomal RNA". The record is from RNAcentral.
AACCAUAGAAACCUGCGGAGUACCUGCGGAGGGAUCAUUACCGAGUUUCCAAAACUCCCCAACCCAUGUGAACUUACCUCUCGUUGCCUCGGCGGGAUCGCCCCGGGUGCCCCAGGCCCCGGACCCAGGCGCCCGCCGCAGGACCCCAAACUCUUGUUUAGUGGAAGCUUCUUCUGAGUGAGAAAACAAAUAAAUCAAAACUUUUAGCAACGGAUCU